GAGUAACACGUGGAUAACCUACCUAUAAGACUGGGAUAACUUCGGGAAACCGGAGCUAAUACCGGAUAAUAUUUUGAACCGCAUGGUUCAAAAGUAAAAGACGGUCUUGCUGUCACUUAUAGAUGGAUCCGCGCUGCAUUAGCUAGUUGGUAAGGUAACGGCUUACCAAGGCAACGAUGCAUAGCCGACCUGAGAGGGUGAUCGGCCACACUGGAACUGAGACACGGUCCAGACUCCUACGGGAGGCAGCAGUAGGGAAUCUUCCGCAAUGGGCGAAAGCCUGACGGAGCAACGCCGCGUGAGUGAUGAAGGUCUUCGGAUCGUAAAACUCUGUUAUUAGGGAAGAACAUAUGUGUAAGUAACUGUGCACAUCUUGACGGUACCUAAUCAGAAAGCCACGGCUAACUACGUGCCAGCAGCCGCGGUAAUACGUAGGUGGCAAGCGUUAUCCGGAAUUAUUGGGCGUAAAGCGCGCGUAGGCGGUUUUUUAAGUCUGAUGUGAAAGCCCACGGCUCAACCGUGGAGGGUCAUUGGAAACUGGAAAACUUGAGUGCAGAAGAGGAAAGUGGAAUUCCAUGUGUAGCGGUGAAAUGCGCAGAGAUAUGGAGGAACACCAGUGGCGAAGGCGACUUUCUGGUCUGUAACUGACGCUGAUGUGCGAAAGCGUGGGGAUCAAACAGGAUUAGAUACCCUGGUAGUCCACGCCGUAAACGAUGAGUGCUAAGUGUUAGGGGGUUUCCGCCCCUUAGUGCUGCAGCUAACGCAUUAAGCACUCCGCCUGGGGAGUACGACCGCAAGGUUGAAACUCAAAGGAAUUGACGGGGACCCGCACAAGCGGUGGAGCAUGUGGUUUAAUUCGAAGCAACGCGAAGAACCUUACCAAAUCUUGACAUCCUUUGACAACUCUAGAGAUAGAGCCUUCCCCUUCGGGGGACAAAGUGACAGGUGGUGCAUGGUUGUCGUCAGCUCGUGUCGUGAGAUGUUGGGUUAAGUCCCGCAACGAGCGCAACCCUUAAGCUUAGUUGCCAUCAUUAAGUUGGGCACUCUAAGUUGACUGCCGGUGACAAACCGGAGGAAGGUGGGGAUGACGUCAAAUCAUCAUGCCCCUUAUGAUUUGGGCUACACACGUGCUACAAUGGACAAUACAAAGGGCAGCGAAACCGUGAGGUCAAGCAAAUCCCAUAAAGUUGUUCUCAGUUCGGAUUGUAGUCUGCAACUCGACUACAUGAAGCUGGAAUCGCUAGUAAUCGUAGAUCAGCAUGCUACGGUGAAUACGUUCCCGGGUCUUGUACACACCGCCCGUCACACCACGAGAGUUUGUAACACCCGAAGCCGGUGGAGUAACCUUUUAGGAGCUAGCCGUCGAAGGUGGGACAAAUGAUUGGGGUGAAGUCGUAACAAGGUAGCCGUAUCGGAAGGUGCGGCUGGAUCACCU
Molecule: ribosomal RNA, 1435 nt
Filed under: Staphylococcus aureus W62344
Lineage: Bacteria; Bacillati; Bacillota; Bacilli; Caryophanales; Staphylococcaceae
Description: bacterial SSU rRNA
Rfam family: Bacterial small subunit ribosomal RNA
Source: RNAcentral